This is a non-coding RNA of Schistosoma rodhaini, 45 nucleotides long. Lineage: Eukaryota; Metazoa; Platyhelminthes; Trematoda; Strigeidida; Schistosomatidae. The record is from Rfam.
AUUCAGCUGACGAGUUCCAAAUAGGACGAAACGCGCGUCCUGGAU